AGGUCAAGCUAUUAAGAGCAUAGGGUGAAUGCCUUGGCACCAGGAGCCGAUGAAGGACGUGGUAAGCUGCGAAAAGCUACGGUUAGGCGCAAACAGCCUUUGACCCGUAGAUAUCCGAAUGGGGGAACCCACCUAAGGUAAAUACUUAGGUACGUACACAUAAAUACAUAGUGUGUGCGGGGGAGACGUGGGGAACUGAAACAUCUAAGUACCCACAGGAGUAGAAAACAAAAGUGAUUCCGUAAGUAGUGGCGAGCGAACGCGGAAGAGCCCAAACCGUUCUAGAGAACAGAGACCAGAAGACAGAGAACAGAGCAUGAGGAGAGCUUUGAAGCAAGGCUGAAUCUGUUAGAGGCAACUGUUUUCAUAUAGAAAGCGGAAGUUGUGAGACGAGAUAAUGAAAGCUGCGAAGAGUAGCUGCAAUCUGUUCUCUGACAGUCUGUUUUCUGUUCUCUAGAACGGGGUUGAGGACCGGCAUAAUGAUUCUUACGAGCUAGCGGAAUGAGGCGAUGGAAAGCGCCGACCAUAGAGGGUAAAAGUCCCGUACGCGAAAGCAAGUGAGGCAGGCCGGGAUCCAGAGUACCACGAGGCACGUGAAACCUAGUGGGAAACCGGGAGGACCACCUCCCAAGGCUAAAUACUACCUGGUGACCGAUAGAGGAGAAGUACCGUGAGGGAAAGGUGAAAAGAACCCCGGGAGGGGAGUGAAAGAGAACCUGAAACCCUAUGUUUACAAGCAGUUGAAGAGCGUUAAGGCUCGACAGCGUACUUUUUGUAGAACGGUCCGGCGAGUUAUUGUAUGUGGCGAGGUUAAGUACUAUAAGGUACGGAGCCGAAGGGAAACCGAGUCUUAACAGGGCGAAUAAGUCACAUGUAAUAGACCCGAAACCGGGUGAUCUACCCAUGGACAGGGUGAAGCGGAAGUAAAAUUUCGUGGAGGCCCGAACCACAUGACCGUUGAAAAGGUCUGGGAUGAGCUGUGGGUGGCGGAGAAAUUCCAAUCGAACUCGGAGAUAGCUGGUUCUCCCCGAAAUAGCUUUAGGGCUAGCCUCAAGGGAGUCUAACGGAGGUAAAGCACUGAAUGGGCUAGGGGCCUUACCGGGUUACCGAACCCUAUCAAACUCUGAAUGCCGUAUAGACGAUCCUUGGGAGUCAGACUGCGGGAGAUAAGUUUCGUAGUCAAAAGGGAAACAGCCCAGACCAUCAGCUAAGGUCCCAAAAUCGCAGUUAAGUGGGAAAGGAUGUGGGUUUGCUAAGACAACUAGGAUGUUGGCUUAGAAGCAGCCACUCAUUCAAAGAGUGCGUAAUAGCUCACUAGUCGAGUGAGCCUGCGCCGAAAAUUACCGGGGCUAAAACUGUGUACCGAAGCUAUGGGUGCUAGAGAACAGGGAACAGAGGUCAGAGAACAGAAAAGGCAGGGAAUGAAAUGAUAGAGAGUUUUAGAGACUUGAAAGUAUAUCAGAGGGCAUAUACAGCAUCUUUGAGAAUACAUGAAAUAUCAUUAAAGUUACCUGAACAUGAAAAGCAUGAAUUAGGAAGCCAGAUAAGAAGAGCAAGUAAAUCCAUUACUAUGAAUAUUGCGGAAGGAUAUGCAAGAAAUAGUUCAUUACAGGAUUUCAAAAGGUUCUUAAUAAUGGCACUUGGCUCAUGUGAAGAGGUAAGAGUACAAAUAGAUUACCUUAAAGACCUCAAAUAUAUCCCUGAAAGCAUACACAGUGAACUGGAACAGGAAUAUAUAGAAAUAGGUAAAAUGCUUGUAGCAAUGAUAAACAAAUGGAAAUAAUCUGCUACGAAGAGAAGCAUAACCCCUGUUCUCUGGAUUCUGUUCUCUGUUUUCUGGCACGGUAGGGGAGCUUACUGUAGUAGGCAGAAGCAUUACCGUAAGGAGAUGUGGACGAAGCAGUAGUGAGAAUGCCGGAAUAAGUAGCGAGAGUGAAGUGAGAAACUUUACCGUCGAAAGCCUAAGGUUUCCUGGGGAAGGUUCGUCCGCCCAGGGUAAGUCGGGACCUAAGCCGAGGCAGGAAUGCGUAGGUGAUGGACGACAGGUUGAAAUUCCUGUACUACCGUUACUCGAUAAAAGAGAAGUGGGGACGCAGGGGGAUAAGUUAAGCGAGCGACUGGAAGAGCUCGUCCAAGGGAGGUAGAAAGUCUGGUAGGCAAAUCCGCCGGAUGAUUCGAAGGCCUGAUGGGGAGGGAAAUUAGAGUACUGAAGUAACUGAUUCCGCACUGACGAGAAAAGCCACUAUCGAGAGUAAAGGUACCCGUACCGCAAACCGACACAGGUAGGUGAGGAGAGAAUCCUAAGACGAGCGGGAGAAGCGUUGUUAAGGAACUCGGCAAAUUGACCCCGUAAGUUCGCGAGAAGGGGUGCCGGGGCGCACGGUAGUGCGCCAGAGAACAGAGAACAGAAACCAGAGAACAGAGAAACUGUUAGAUGGACUGAAGGAAGUGAACUGACGUAGUAUCGUGCGUUCCGGCCGCAGAGAAUAGGCCCAAGCAACUGUUUAUCAAAAACACAGGUCUCUGCUAAAUCGAAAGAUGACGUAUAGGGGCUGACGCCUGCCCGGUGCUGGAAGGUUACGGGGAUUUGUAAACCGCGAGGUGAAGCAAUGAACUUAAGCCCCAGUAAACGGCGGCCGUAACUAUAACGGUCCUAAGGUAGCGAAAUUCCUUGUCAGGUAAGUUCUGACCCGCACGAAUGGCGUAAUGACUUGGGCACUGUCUCAACAACGUACCCGGUGAAAUUGUAGUACUUGUGAAGAUGCAAGUUACCCGCGACCAGACGGAAAGACCCCAUGGAGCUUUACUGCAGCCUGAUACUGGGUUUCGGUAUUCUUUGUACAGGAUAGGUGGGAGGCUAAGAUACCAGGGCGCCAGCCUUGGAGGAGCCGACGUUGGGAUACCACUCUAAGAGUACUGGAACUCUAACCUUAGUCCAUGAACUGGAUUGGGGACACUGUCAGGUGGGCAGUUUGACUGGGGCGGUCGCCUCCCAAAGAGUAACGGAGGCGUCCAAAGGUUACCUCAGCGCGGUUGGAAAUCGCGCAUUGAGUGCAAAGGCAUAAGGUAGCCUGACUGCGAGACAAACAAGUCGAGCAGGUACGAAAGUAGGGCUUAGUGAUCCGGCGGUAUGAAAGUGGAAUUGCCGUCGCUCAACGGAUAAAAGCUACCCUGGGGAUAACAGGCUUAUCUCCCCCAAGAGUCCAUAUCGACGGGGAGGUUUGGCACCUCGAUGUCGGCUCAUCGCAUCCUGGAGCUGAAGUAGGUUCCAAGGGUUUGGCUGUUCGCCAAUUAAAGCGGUACGCGAGCUGGGUUCAGAACGUCGUGAGACAGUUCGGUCCCUAUCUGUCGCGGGCGCA
RNAcentral lists this ribosomal RNA (3359 nucleotides) under candidate division WS5 bacterium. Its description in RNAcentral is "partial 23S ribosomal RNA". It matches the Rfam family "Bacterial large subunit ribosomal RNA". The record is from RNAcentral.